RNAcentral lists this microRNA precursor (101 nucleotides) under Gorilla gorilla gorilla (western lowland gorilla). RNAcentral describes it as "miRNA (ENSGGOG00000039388.1)". The record is from RNAcentral. Lineage: Eukaryota; Metazoa; Chordata; Mammalia; Primates; Hominidae.
UGAGGCAGGAGAAUUGCUUGAACCCAGGAGGUGGAGGUUGCAGUGAGCCGAGAUCGUGCCACUGCACUCCAGCCUGGGUGACAGAGGGAGACUCUUGUCUC